UGGGGAAUAUUGGACAAUGGGGGCAACCCUGAUCCAGCAAUGCCGCGUGUGUGAAGAAGGUUUUCGGAUUGUAAAGCACUUUCGGCGGGGACGAUGAUGACGGUACCCGCAGAAGAAGCCCCGGCUAACUUCGUGCCAGCAGCCGCGGUAAUACGAAGGGGGCUAGCGUUGCUCGGAAUGACUGGGCGUAAAGGGCGUGUAGGCGGUUUGUACAGUCAGAUGUGAAAUCCCCGGGCUUAACCUGGGAGCUGCAUUUGAGACGUGCAGACUAGAGUGUGAGAGAGGGUUGUGGAAUUCCCAGUGUAGAGGUGAAAUUCGUAGAUAUUGGGAAGAACACCGGUGGCGAAGGCGGCAACCUGGCUCAUUACUGACGCUGAGGCGCGAAAGCGUGGGGAGCAAACAGGAUUAGAUACCCUGGUAGUCCACGCUGUAAACGAUGUGUGCUGGAUGUUGGGUAACUUAGUUAUUCAGUGUCGUAGCUAACGCGAUAAGCACACCGCCCGGGGAGUACGGCCGCAAGGUUG
RNAcentral lists this ribosomal RNA (524 nucleotides) under uncultured bacterium. RNAcentral describes it as "partial 16S ribosomal RNA". It matches the Rfam family "Bacterial small subunit ribosomal RNA", at positions 355 to 896 of the family's 1533-position model. The record is from RNAcentral.